This 1200-nucleotide long non-coding RNA is filed under the name Elaeis guineensis (African oil palm). RNAcentral's name for it is "long non-coding RNA (EGUI_LNC032743)". The record is from RNAcentral. Lineage: Eukaryota; Viridiplantae; Streptophyta; Magnoliopsida; Arecales; Arecaceae.
ACGUGAUUUCGAGGUUUAAGUUUUUAGAUAUGCCUAAUAGAUCUAUCAUUAAAAUAAUUCCAAAAUUCUUUUUGUGGAAAUGUAGCACGACUCUAAAAGGCUGUUGUGUUUCAUAUUUAAUUUAAGCUAUGAACGGGUACAUGCAACCUAGGCCUUAUCAUCCAAUGUCGUUACUCCUUUAAGCAUAAAUCUGUACUAUUUGUCCAAGCUUUUCCAUUAAAAUUUAGGUAACAAAAUAUUUCCAAGCAGCAUAUUAGAUCAAUUACACUUAUUUUGAAAAUAGAAGCCUUGAGUGCCUUAAUAGAAUUAGGAAUUGAAAUCAUUAAUUGGGCUACAAAAUUUUAGCAAUUUAGCACGGGAGCAUAUGUAAUGGACCUGAAGUGUAGAACUAAUGAAAAAUAAAUUAUAAUGCAAAUCAUGCAAAUAAAUACAAAAAGUAGCAGGCACAUGCAAAGAGCAUGCCCAAGAACCAAAAAAGCACAAACACAACAAAACAAUAAAUGAAAAAAUGAUGAGGAAGCAUAUCUUCUUUUUAUGUUUAUACUUGUUAUUGUCUAAGAAGUAAGGUCAGUGAUUUUUCCUCCUAAAAUAUGUAAAAGAAGGUCACAAAUUGCUUUGACCUAGGGAUAGAUUACUAGAAUAAAAGGAAAGUAAUUGCAAACUAACUAAGAAAGAAUACCAAACCCUGCUGCAGUUCAAUUGAAAAAUUGGGCUACAUCUCUAUAGGGGAGAUUAAUAAAUCAAUUGUGUACUAAUAUUGUAUUAUGCAAAUCAGAGGUGAGGUUAUUGAGGAAGAAAAUUCCUCUCAAACAAACUUUUAUGCUUUACCAUGCCAAUGAAGAUAUUUAUGUUAGGGAAUCCAAAACCAUAAAUAUCCAAGAGAAUCGAAACUAAAGCACACAUUCACGAACAUCCAUCUCAUUAUAACUUUAUUAAUGCAUAUAAGUGAUUAAUGCUUAUAAUAAAUCAUUAGCUAAAUUUGACUUGCUUUCAAACAAUCAAUAUAGUCCUCAUAUGCAAUCCAUGUUAAGUUGCAUUUAAUUAAGCACAUUACUUGGUAAUGACUACCAAUCACCUGAAAUUGGAUGGUCUGUGCUCACUAGUUGUCCUCACGGUCUUAUAACUAACUUCACUAGUUGUCCUCACGGUCUUAUAACUAAUUAGGGCAAUUCACGUGGUCAGUGUGGUGAGACCCAUUUC